Schistocerca cancellata (South American locust) is the source of this 2088-nucleotide long non-coding RNA. RefSeq lists it as uncharacterized. The transcript is spliced from 3 exons. The record is from RefSeq and is a predicted model, not a curated record. Lineage: Eukaryota; Metazoa; Arthropoda; Insecta; Orthoptera; Acrididae.
CUCGCGUCAACUACUUGCUGAUACUGUAACAUAUGCUUUCAGUACCACUACGAGUGUCAGCCGAAGUAUAAAAUGAGAAGUAGGUGGGUGAGAUAUGAUGCAUCUCUUGUAAUUGUAAUGAAAAACGUGAAAAAGAAAAAGAGAAGUAUUUGGGUUAGGAGAGUGGAUAAUGAGAAGAUUGCCAAAUGGUGCCUGUAAUAACCUUUUGCAAGAACUUAGUAUCGAGAGGAUGGAUACUUUUGAAAACUUUUGCAGACUGUCCUCAAAUGAUCUGGAGUGUUUGUUGACGUUAAUAGCGCCCGUCAUAUCAAAACGAGACUCAAACUUCCGUACUGCUAUAUCAGCAAAGGAACGUUUGCUUGUCACUCUACGAUUUAUAGCUACAGGAGACUCAUACAAGCCCCUAACGUACUUGUUUCGUAUUCCUGUCAGCAAGAUUUCUCGUACCCGAUGUAUGUAGAGCCAUUUUUGACGUCUUGAAAAGGAAAAAAAAAUGUUCAAAUGUGUGUGAAAUCUUAUGGGACUUAACUUCUAAGACCAUCAGUCCCUAAGCUUACACACUACUUAACCUAAAUUAUCCUAAGGACAAACACACACACCCAUGGCCGAGGGAGGACUCGAACCUCCGCCGGGACCAGCCGUACAGCCUAUGACUGGAGCGCCCCAGACCGCUCGGCUAAUCCCGCGCGGCUUUGAAAGGGAAAAUUAUUUGAAGACACCUAAAACAACAAGCGAGUGGAUGCAGGUGGCAAAGGGGUUUGAAGAGAACUGGAACUUUCCACACUGCAUUGGGGCAUUGGAUGGGAAGCAUAUUGUGAUGCAAGCUCCAAAAGAUAGUGGAAGCUAUUAUUAUAAUUAUAAACAUUGUCACAGUGUUGUUUUAUUGGCACUUGUAGAUGCCAGCUACAAGUUAUUAUACAUGGAUGUAGGCUGCAAUGGAAGAGUUAAGGAUGGUGGUGUAUUCAGUACCUGUUUGUUAUAUUCAGCCUUGGAGCAAGGACAUCUUAACAUUCUUCUGCCCAAUCCACUCCCAAGCAGAGAAAAGGACACCCCCUAUGUAAUCAUUGCAGAUGAUGCAUUUCCAAUGAGGUCAUAUUUAAUGAAGCCCUAUCCCUUCCAUAAUCAACCAGGUCCGAACAGAGUGUUUAAUUAUGGACUAUCAAGGGCCAGAAGAGUUGUGGAACAUUUUUUUUGGCCACAUUGCACAACGGUUUAGGAUAUUGAGGCUUCCAUUGUUACUAGGUCCUGAAAAACUGUAAUAAUAGUUUCAGCUAUAUGUGCCUUACACUAUUUCUUAAUGGACAGGUAAAACAGCAAUUAUGCAAACUGAAGUAAUUUUGAUGUAGAGGAUGUACAGAAUGGUGAGGUAAUAGGAGCCUCAAAGAAGAAUGAAGACCAAGGAACACACAAUUUAAUCCCCAUUCAAACAGGACAAUGUAACAGAAAUUCUAAUGAUACUGGAGCAAUUCGUGAAGAAUUCAUGAAUUACUUUGUAUCGCCAUUAGGUGAAGUACGUUGGCAGUAAAAAUACAUUUAAAAUAUAAACUGUAGACUUGGAACAUAUAUUUGCUGCCUAUUACUCAUCAUUUAUAGCCUUACCAUUAAGUUCAGUAGUGAUGUUCCCCUUUUCUGUGGCUGGCUGUGCCAGCACUCAUUUCACUACAUUCCAUAUGGCCCUAAGCAUGUUUUCGGAGUUACUGAUUUCUGACAUUAGGUACAUUUUCCUGGACUUUAUAAUAACCUUUCUCAGUAAUUUUGAGUAUUUUUUGUAAUGUGCAAUUACUGCACGACCAGUUGAACACUUACUUACUUAAUGUUAAAUUGCAAAGAUUGGCUGCAAUGAAAAGAAGUAUAAAGCCUAUCAGUAUCUGCCAGGAAGCCUCUUAGUAAGUAGUGAAAUUUAGUUUAAGAUCAGAAGAAUUGGAGCUUGCACUACUUGACAAAAGUUGUACAUAAUUUUGUUCCACAUGGUCAUAAUAUAUGGGCACUCAAUGUAAUUACACCAUGUGUAUGGUAUGCUGUGGUACAGUAGGAUAUUCUAUGAAAUCAACUAUUAAUGAAUAAUACAUUUACGAAUUAACAAACAAU